RNAcentral lists this ribosomal RNA (2154 nucleotides) under human gut metagenome. RNAcentral's name for it is "bacterial LSU rRNA". It matches the Rfam family "Bacterial large subunit ribosomal RNA", at positions 1 to 2002 of the family's 2925-position model. The record is from RNAcentral.
UCUUCCGAUCUGGCGUAUGGUGGAUGCCUUGGCAGACAGUACCGAUGAAGGACGUGUGGGGCCGCGAUAGUCCUGGGGGAGCCGCCGACAUGGCUUUGAUCCCAGGGUGUCCGAAUGGGGCAACCCGCCAGCCGUCAUGGGCUGGCACCGCACUUGUGCGGGGGGUACGCAGGGAAGUGAAACAUCUCAGUACCUGCAGGAGAGGAUACUCCGUGAGUAGUGGCGAGCGAAAGCGGAUGAUGGCUAAACCGUGCGCGUGUGAUACCCGUCGGGGGUUGCGCGCAUGGUGUCGUGGGAACGCCUGUCCAACGGCCGACGCCGUUGGCUGUGGUGAUAAAUGCAUGCGUGAGGCGAACCGGGUUGGAUACCGGGCCGUAGAGGGUGAUGGCCCCGUAGCCGUAUGCGCGUGCACCAUGGAUGGUGUCUCCCGAGUAGCGCGGGACUCGUGGAAUCCCGUGUGAAUCCGCCCGGACCGUCGGGUAAGCCUGAGUAUACCUGUCUGACCGAUAGCGUACGAGUACCGUGAGGGAAAGGUGAAAAGCACCCCGGGAGGGGAGUGAAAGAGUUCCUGAAACCGUGCGCCCGCGAACCGUCGGAGCCCCCUUGGUGGGGUGACGGCGUGCCUAUCGAAAAAUGAGUCUGCGAGUCAGUGGCAUGUGGCGAGCAUAACCCGUGUGGGGUAUGCGUAGCGAAGGCGAGUCUUAAAAGGCGUUUGAGUCGCGUGUCCUGGACCCGAAGCGGGAUGAUCUAGCCCUGAGCAGGUUGAAGCGCGGGUAAGACCGCGUGGAGGACCGAACCCACCUGGGUUGAAAACCGGGGGGAUGACCUGGGGCUAGGGGUGAAAGGCCAAUCAAAUUCCGUGAUAGCUGGUUCUCUCCGAAAUGCAUUUAGGUGCAGCGUCGGUCGAUUGCGUCGCGGGGGUAGAGCUACCGGAUGCUUGCGGGCCCUUGUUGGGUACCAACAGCAGCCGAACUCCGAAUACCGUUGACGUGUAUUCCGGCAGUGAGUCGGCGGGGGAUAAGCUCCGUCGUCGAGAGGGAGACAGCCCAGACCGUCGUCUAAGGUCCCGAAGCGUGUGCUAAGUGGGAAAGGAUGUGGAGUCGCAUAGACAGCCAGGAGGUUGGCUCAGAAGCAGCCAUCCUUGAAAGAGUGCGUAACAGCUCACUGGUCUAGUGGUUCCGCGCCGACAAUGUAGCGGGGCUCAAGCACGCCACCGAAGACGCGGAUGCGGCCGUAUGGCCGUGUGGUAGGAGAGCGUCCCACACCGGGGCGAAGCGGCGGGGGAACCCGGCCGUGGACUGUGUGGGAGUGAGAAUGCAGACAUGAGUAGCGAGAGCAGGGUGAGGAUCCCUGCCGCUGGAAGACCAAGGGUUCCAGGGCCACGUUCGUCGUCCCUGGGUGAGUCGGGUCCUAAGGCGAGGCCGACAGGCGUAGUCGAAUGGAUGAACGGGUCGAUAUUCCCGUACCGGCUUUCGGACCGACCAACAGCCCGUGUGAACAAGGGCCAUCCGAUACGGUUGAUGGGGGCUUCGGCCUCCUGAUUCCGUUGCUGUUUGGCCUGGACGCGCAUGGGUUGAGCGUUUCAGGAGUGACGCGGACGGGUAGCCGGCCGGGGAGGUGGUUUUCCCUGGUCAAGCGUGUGGCCCCGCCCCCAGGCAAAUCCGGGGGCUUCAUGGGGUGAGGCGUGAUGAUGGGCGCUUUCAUGGCGUGAUAUCCGGUGAUCCCGUCGGCCGAGAAAAGCUUCGGCGCGAGGUCCGUUGCCGCCCGUACCCCAAACCGACACAGGUGGUCUGGUAGAGUAUACCGAAGCGAUCGAGCGAAUCCUGGUCAAGGAACUCGGCAAAUUGCUCCCGUGCCUUCGGCAUAAGGGAGACCCCCGGCCGUGCCGGCCCCUUGCGGGUCGUGGGCGGCUGGGGGUGGCACAGGCCAGGGGGUAGCGACUGUUUACCAAAAACACAGGUGCAUGCCAAGACGCAAGUCGCCGUAUAUGCACUGACGCCUGCCCGGUGCCGGAAGGUUAAGAGGAUCCAUCAGCGUCCCCUCGCGGGAUGCGAAGUGGUGAAUUCAAGCCCCGGUAAACGGCGGUGGUAACAAUAACCAUCCUAAGGUAGCGAAAUUCCUUGUCGGGUAAGUUCCGACCUGCACGAAUGGCGU